UAUGGUAAUUGUGUGCCGCCGCGGUAAUACGGAAGGUCCGGGCGUUAUCCGGAUUUAUUGGGUUUAAAGGGAGCGUAGGCCGGAGAUUAAGCGUGUUGUGAAAUGUAGAUGCUCAACAUCUGCACUGCAGCGCGAACUGGUUUCCUUGAGUACGCACAAAGUGGGCGGAAUUCGUGGUGUAGCGGUGAAAUGCUUAGAUAUCACGAAGAACUCCGAUUGCGAAGGCAGCUCACUGGAGCGCAACUGACGCUGAAGCUCGAAAGUGCGGGUAUCGAACAGG
RNAcentral lists this ribosomal RNA (280 nucleotides) under Segatella copri DSM 18205. RNAcentral's name for it is "Prevotella copri DSM 18205 partial 16S ribosomal RNA". It matches the Rfam family "Bacterial small subunit ribosomal RNA", at positions 493 to 776 of the family's 1533-position model. Lineage: Bacteria; Pseudomonadati; Bacteroidota; Bacteroidia; Bacteroidales; Prevotellaceae. The record is from RNAcentral.